Molecule: ribosomal RNA, 478 nt
Filed under: uncultured bacterium
Lineage: Bacteria
Description: bacterial SSU rRNA
Rfam family: Bacterial small subunit ribosomal RNA
Source: RNAcentral
GCGAAAGCCUGAUGCAGCCAUGCCGCGUGUGUGAAGAAGGCCCUAGGGUUGUAAAGCACUUUCAGUGGGGAGGAAAGGGAGAUUGCUAAUAUCAGUCUCCUGUGACGUUACCCACAGAAGAAGCACCGGCUAACUCCGUGCCAGCAGCCGCGGUAAUACGGAGGGUGCGAGCGUUAAUCGGAAUUACUGGGCGUAAAGCGUGCGUAGGCGGCUUUUUAAGUUGGAUGUGAAAGCCCCGGGCUUAACCUGGGAACUGCAUCCAAAACUGGAAGGCUUGAGUGCGAGAGAGGAGUGUGGAAUUUCCUGUGUAGCGGUGAAAUGCGUAGAUAUAGGAAGGAACACCAGUGGCGAAGGCGACACUCUGGCUUGACACUGACGCUGAGGUACGAAAGCGUGGGGAGCAAACAGGAUUAGAUACCCUGGUAGUCCACGCCGUAAACGAUGUCUACUAGUUGUCGGUGGUCUUGUACUGCUGGUA